ACGAACGCUGGCGGCGUGCUUAACACCUGCAAGUCGCACGGAAAGGCCCUGCUUUUGUGGGGUGCUCGAGUGGCGAACGGGUGAGUAACACGUGAGUAACCUGCCCUUGACUUUGGGAUAACUUCAGGAAACUGGGGCUAAUACCGGAUAGGAGCUCCUGCUGCAUGGUGGGGGUUGGAAAGUUUCGGCGGUUGGGGAUGGACUCGCGGCUUAUCAGCUUGUUGGUGGGGUAGUGGCUUACCAAGGCUUUGACGGGUAGCCGGCCUGAGAGGGUGACCGGCCAAAUUGGGACUGAGAUACGGCCCAGAAUCCUACGGGAGGCAGCAGUGGGGAAUAUUGCACAAUGGGCGGAAGCCUGAUGCAGCAACGCCGCGUGCGGGAUGACGGCCUUCGGGUUGUAAACCGCUUUCGCCUGUGACGAAGCGUGAGUGACGGUAAUGGGUAAAGAAGCACCGGCUAACUACGUG
This 467-nucleotide ribosomal RNA is filed under the name uncultured bacterium. Its description in RNAcentral is "partial 16S ribosomal RNA". It matches the Rfam family "Bacterial small subunit ribosomal RNA", at positions 29 to 507 of the family's 1533-position model. The record is from RNAcentral.